CCUACGGGGGGCAGCAGUGGGGAAUAUUGGACAAUGGGGGCAACCCUGAUCCAGCCAUGCCGCGUGUGUGAAGAAGGCCCUCGGGUUGUAAAGCACUUUCAGUGAGGAAGAACGCCUGGUGGUUAAUACCCAUCAGGAAAGACAUCACUCACAGAAGAAGCACCGGCUAACUCCGUGCCAGCAGCCGCGGUAAUACGGAGGGUGCGAGCGUUAAUCGGAAUUACUGGGCGUAAAGCGCGCGUAGGUGGCUUGAUAAGCCGGUUGUGAAAGCCCCGGGCUCAACCUGGGAACGGCAUCCGGAACUGUCAAGCUAGAGUGCAGGAGAGGAAGGUAGAAUUCCCGGUGUAGCGGUGAAAUGCGUAGAGAUCGGGAGGAAUACCAGUGGCGAAGGCGGCCUUCUGGACUGACACUGACACUGAGAUGCGAAAGCGUGGGUAGCAAACAGGAUUAGAUACCCUAGUAGUC
This 465-nucleotide ribosomal RNA is filed under the name Vreelandella stevensii. RNAcentral's name for it is "partial 16S ribosomal RNA". It matches the Rfam family "Bacterial small subunit ribosomal RNA", at positions 338 to 795 of the family's 1533-position model. The record is from RNAcentral. Lineage: Bacteria; Pseudomonadati; Pseudomonadota; Gammaproteobacteria; Oceanospirillales; Halomonadaceae.